CCUCCUUAUACGAUUUAGAACUUAUUUGUUCGUAGUGUCCACACAGAUGAUUGUUAGUUAGUUUGCUCUUUGAGUUUACUAAUUAAUAUGCUCUUUAAAAAUUUGGAAAAGCUGAUAAUAAAAUUCGUAUGAAUGACAUUUGUUAUUUGUACAGAGUUUUCAAAAGUAAAAAAGAAUGAUAGCAGUAUCAUUCAGUGCCAAUUUAAUCUUCGGAUUAAUUGGUAUCUACUUUAGUAUUCAAUAUUAACUUCUGGCGAAGUUAAACUGUCACAAAACAAAGACCCGUUUGGGUUGUAUGGUUAAGUGACUAAGCGUACACGGUGGAUGC
This 328-nucleotide unclassified non-coding RNA is filed under the name uncultured Pseudoalteromonas sp. RNAcentral describes it as "partial 16S-23S ribosomal RNA intergenic spacer". Lineage: Bacteria; Pseudomonadati; Pseudomonadota; Gammaproteobacteria; Alteromonadales; Pseudoalteromonadaceae. The record is from RNAcentral.